AGCUAAGAAGCGAUACUUCGCCUCAAGUUUCGGCCUUGAUCUAGGUAAACCAUUACCCUUAGUUA
RNAcentral lists this transfer RNA (65 nucleotides) under Alpheus brevicristatus. Its description in RNAcentral is "tRNA-Arg". The record is from RNAcentral. Lineage: Eukaryota; Metazoa; Arthropoda; Malacostraca; Decapoda; Alpheidae.